Gouania willdenowi (blunt-snouted clingfish) is the source of this 120-nucleotide ribosomal RNA. The record is from Ensembl. Lineage: Eukaryota; Metazoa; Chordata; Actinopteri; Blenniiformes; Gobiesocidae.
GCUUACGGCCAUACCGCUCUGAUCAAGCCCGAUCUCGUCUGAUCUCGGAAGCUACACAAAGCCGGGCCGUGGUUAGUACUUGAAUGGGAGACUGUCUGGGAAUACCGUGUGCUGUAAGUU